RNAcentral lists this ribosomal RNA (765 nucleotides) under uncultured Streptococcus sp. Its description in RNAcentral is "bacterial SSU rRNA". It matches the Rfam family "Bacterial small subunit ribosomal RNA", at positions 28 to 776 of the family's 1533-position model. Lineage: Bacteria; Bacillati; Bacillota; Bacilli; Lactobacillales; Streptococcaceae. The record is from RNAcentral.
GACGAACGCUGGCGGCGUGCGUAAUACAUGCAAGUAGAACGCUGAGGACUGGUGCUUGCACCGGUCCAAGGAGUUGCGAACGGGUGAGUAACGCGUAGGUAACCUACCUCAUAGCGGGGGAUAACUAUUGGAAACGAUAGCUAAUACCGCAUAAAAGUGUUUAACCCAUGUUAAACAUUUAAAAGGUGCAAUUGCAUCACUAUGAGAUGGACCUGCGUUGUAUUAGCUAGUUGGUGAGGUAACGGCUCACCAAGGCGACGAUACAUAGCCGACCUGAGAGGGUGAUCGGCCACACUGGGACUGAGACACGGCCCAGACUCCUACGGGAGGCAGCAGUAGGGAAUCUUCGGCAAUGGACGGAAGUCUGACCGAGCAACGCCGCGUGAGUGAAGAAGGUUUUCGGAUCGUAGAACUCUGUUGUUAGAGAAGAAUGAUGGUGGGAGUGGAAAAUCCACCAUGUGACGGUAACUAACCAGAAAGGGACGGCUAACUACGUGCCAGCAGCCGCGGUAAUACGUAGGUCCCGAGCGUUGUCCGGAUUUAUUGGGCGUAAAGCGAGCGCAGGCGGUUCUUUAAGUCUGAAGUUAAAGGCAGUGGCUCAACCAUUGUACGCUUUGGAAACUGGAGAACUUGAGUGCAGAAGGGGAGAGUGGAAUUCCAUGUGUAGCGGUGAAAUGCGUAGAUAUAUGGAGGAACACCGGUGGCGAAAGCGGCUCUCUGGUCUGUAACUGACGCUGAGGCUCGAAAGCGUGGGGAGCAAACAGG